UAUGAGGAGCCUUAAUAUGCGCAAGCCGGGAAAGUCCCCGAGACGAUCUCGUAGACCUUGGUAUCGGCUAGGACGCCUAGGUAGGAGAGCCGGCGUCCGCGGCGGUUAGGGGUGGCGGCAGGUGGUGGUGAGACGGGGCUGUGGUAGGGAACGCUGUUGGGGGAUCGGGUGGACGGUAGACGGCGGCCGGUGGUGGUCACAGGAGGCGGCGGUAGGGGACACUGUGGGGGCUGGGGCAGGGACGGCAGGCGGCGGCCGGUGGUGGUGGAGACGACGAACCCAUUAAUACGGACCGACGCAAGGCCCCCUUUAUUAGAGCGCCCUCUGUCCCCGCCCUCUUCUAAACUAAAGGAACACAUUAGCUCCUUCUCUCCUCCAGCUAAAGCCUAACACGCCGUUGUUUCCUCACUAAAAAUAAGGCUCAGACAGACAACUCUUCAACAUUAGGCCUAGGAGGAGGGAGAGGAGACUUAUUAGAGGAGGGAAAACCUACUCUCGGCCGGCUCAGCCUCCUCCUCCCCGGCGGAUAGCUAGAUUAUUUAACCGCAGGGGUUAAACAAGAAGCGGCCGCUAAUCAGACGAAACAACGCCGCCAGAUUUAUUUGUCUCCUCCCCUUCCCCCCUAAGCUUAUUCCGGUCGAGUCCGCAGGAGGCAACAGUGUCUAGGUUAUUCUAGUCGGUACUUCUUGUUUUUGCCAGCAGGGUCCUUUAGUCGAGAGUUGCUUCGGCGACGACCGUUGUUCUUACCAGCAGCGUCCGCCUUAGAUUUACGUUGCGUUUUCCGUUGAGCGUUGCUUCGGCGACGAUCGUUGCGUUUACUACUGUCCGAAUCGUUCGACGGGUUACUGGAAGAAGAGUUGUAAGACCUCUCCCACCUGUGUGAGCUGCGAUAUUCCCGGACGUAGGAGAGGUCCGUUUACGACUUCGAGGGGUGGUACGAGAGCGCGAAAAUGGAUUCACAAUCAAGGUAAGGUCCAGAGGUCCGAUUUGGUGGAGCGCGACAGUGGGAGUUCCUUCACGAGCCUUAGUUGUCACGAAACAGAGUACAUUGCCUAUUGUAGAACUCGUGUUCCUCGGGCCUCCAAUGGUAGUCGUUUGAGUUUUAGUCUAAACAGAACAACGGACUACUGAGGGAACGGUAACCUUCUAGACAGCGGGCGCGGUACCGUUGGGUCUUCGAACCACGUCGACUCAAACUCUAGCAUUGCUUCUUCGCAAUAUUGGAGACGAGAAGAUAACUAAAGGAGUUGAAACGGUUCGUCAAGUUACUAAAUCAACCACGAACAGGCGUACGUAAACGACCGGAAUGCUCGGACACCGACCUUUUAUACUCCAAACCACUUGACCUGUAAGGGUUGUAGGAGUCGUGAACGUUCGAGAACCUCAUAAACGCAAAUUGGGUAACGCUGAGUCCCUAGGUAAGACACGACGUUCAUCUUGUGUGAGUUGAACAACUCGAGCUCUAGCUGGUCCCCUUUAAAGUCUCUCAACUCGACUAUACAGAUGGUUUUGAGGUUGCCAACUGGAUAUUAUUAACCAAGAGAACACUCCUAGGCUACAUAAAACCAAAACAUGGUGUCGAAAGUUUCGACUCGGAAUAAUUUUGACGGUGGGCAAGCCUGUUCAGAGAGUUCAAUUCAGUUGAGGAACGAUUACAAGGAAGGCAUCCGCUAGACGCAGACCUAAAACCUUCACUUUUCUAGACCCAAGAUGGUCUUACGGGUUUUGACGAGUCCGGACACGAGUCGUUUGAUGUCGUACACUUAGACCUGGUAGAAGGACUUCCCACACUAAAUCGAACCUGUUACAAAUAAGAACUUCGACGUGGGAGGAAUUUUCUCGAUACGUAGUGUCAUACCCUAGUAACCACGUAUUACCACUUUCUGUUUCUCAAAGCCCUCUUUAUACCAAUGACGCUCUUCCGUCUGCACUUCACCUUCGGUAUACGGGGACUAAAGUUCGUGUUCUUAGACCGAUUCGAGUGGUAAAUACCGAAGGUUGGACUGCUGUUAAAAUACGCUAUGCAGUCCACACAGCACCUUGUACGGUAAUUAUAUUGUCUCUAUAGGGACAGGCUGUCCUUCCCCACAUCCGCCACACCACUGAACCUAGGUAGUUCUAUAGGUGCCUGACGGCCCCUCUCCUUUGUCUGUCGACUGCUCAACCCAAACCGAAGCCCACAACACCAAGUAAAGGCCAGCACUAACUUUUUUAAUACUCAUCAAACAUUCAGUAGACAAGAUAGUAGAAACAUCGACCUUCCUCAAACAUUCAGUAUACAGUAUAGUACAAACAUCGACCUUCAUCAAUAACAUGGAAAACGAAACGAAAGUCAACUUCGAACAACACUUCAUAAGACUCUAAACUGUAGAAACCUUUAUUAUUAACACUUGAUAACUGAUAACACCUCAA
Molecule: ribosomal RNA, 2412 nt
Filed under: Triticum aestivum (bread wheat)
Lineage: Eukaryota; Viridiplantae; Streptophyta; Magnoliopsida; Poales; Poaceae
Description: partial small subunit ribosomal RNA
Source: RNAcentral